RNAcentral lists this ribosomal RNA (405 nucleotides) under uncultured bacterium. RNAcentral describes it as "partial 16S ribosomal RNA". It matches the Rfam family "Bacterial small subunit ribosomal RNA", at positions 28 to 526 of the family's 1533-position model. The record is from RNAcentral.
GAUGAACGCUGGCGGCGUGCCUAAUACAUGCAAGUCGAGCGAAGCGGGGACGGGUGAGUAAUACGUGGAUAACUUCCUAUAAGACUGGGAUAACUUCGGGAAACCGGAGCUAAACCGGAUGGUUAUCGAUGGAUAUGCGCUGCAUUAGCUAGUAGGUAAGGUAACGGCUUACCAAGGCAACGAGGCAUAGCCGACCUGAGAGGGUGAUCGGCCACACUGGAACUGAGACACGGUCCAGACUCCUACGGGAGGCAGCAGUGGGGAAUCUUCCGCAAUGGGCGAAAGCCUGACGCAGCAACGCCGCGUGAAUGAUGAAGGUCUUCGGAUCGUAAAGCUCUGUUAUUAGGGAAGCGGUACCUAAUCAGAAAGCCACGGCUAACUACGUGCCAGCAGCCGCGGUAAUUC